RNAcentral lists this ribosomal RNA (492 nucleotides) under uncultured bacterium. RNAcentral's name for it is "partial 16S ribosomal RNA". It matches the Rfam family "Bacterial small subunit ribosomal RNA", at positions 29 to 507 of the family's 1533-position model. The record is from RNAcentral.
AGUGAACGCUGGCGGUAGGCCUAACACAUGCAAGUCGAACGGCAGCACAGUAAGAGCUUGCUCUUACGGGUGGCGAGUGGCGGACGGGUGAGGAAUACAUCGGAAUCUACUUUUUCGUGGGGGAUAACGUAGGGAAACUUACGCUAAUACCGCAUACGACCUACGGGUGAAAGCAGGGGAUCUUCGGACCUUGCGCGAUUGAAUGAGCCGAUGUCGGAUUAGCUAGUUGGCGGGGUAAAGGCCCACCAAGGCGACGAUCCGUAGCUGGUCUGAGAGGAUGAUCAGCCACACUGGAACUGAGACACGGUCCAGACUCCUACGGGAGGCAGCAGUGGGGAAUAUUGGACAAUGGGCGCUAGCCUGAUCCAGCCAUACCGCGUGGGUGAAGAAGGCCUUCGGGUUGUAAAGCCCUUUUGUUGGGAAAGAAAAGCAGCAGGUUAAUACCCCGCUGUUCUGACGGUACCCAAAGAAUAAGCACCGGCUAACUUCGUG